CUGUAAAUGAUGAUAAACUUUACUUAUUUACUAUCUGAUUGGAGCUGGCACGGUCUGUUUUAGACAGCCUUUUCCAUUUUAAAGAUGACUCUACGAGGCAUUUGUCUGAUAUAAUA
Molecule: small nucleolar RNA, 116 nt
Organism: Anopheles sinensis
Lineage: Eukaryota; Metazoa; Arthropoda; Insecta; Diptera; Culicidae
Rfam family: Small nucleolar RNA Me28S-Am2589
About the family: Me28S-Am2589 is a member of the C/D class of snoRNA which contain the C (UGAUGA) and D (CUGA) box motifs.
Source: Rfam